RNAcentral lists this ribosomal RNA (481 nucleotides) under uncultured bacterium. RNAcentral describes it as "partial 16S ribosomal RNA". It matches the Rfam family "Bacterial small subunit ribosomal RNA", at positions 28 to 523 of the family's 1533-position model. The record is from RNAcentral.
GACGAAUGCUGGCUGCGUGCUUAACACAUGCAAGUCGAACGGUGAAGGGGAGCUUGCUCCCCGGAUCAGUGGCGAACGGGUGAGUAACACGUGGGCAACCUGCCCCUCACUCUGGGAUAACUCCGGGAAACCGGGGCUAAUACCGGAUACGACCGGGAGCGACAUCGCUCCUGGUGGAAAGAACUUCGGUGAGGGAUGGGCCCGCGGCCUAUCAGCUAGUUGGUGGGGUAACGGCCCACCAAGGCGACGACGGGUAGCCGGCCUGAGAGGGCGACCGGCCCAACUGGGACUGAGAGACGGCCCAGAGUCCUACGGGGGGCAGCAGGGGGAAAUAUUGCGCAAUGGGCGAAAGCCUGACGCAGCGACGCAGCGUGGGGGACGAAGGCCUUCGGGUUGUAAACCUCUUUCAGCGGGGACGAAGCGAAAGUGACGGUACCCGCAGAAGAAGCACCGGCUAACUACGUGCCAGCAGCCGCCGUAA